GUUAAAUUAUCAAAAUAUUAAUAUUCCUUAUUGAGCUAGGCAAUUGACCCAGUCAAACCAUGUGUCUAUAUGUUUACCAUGUAUGUAUUCAAAAUACGGCUCCAGGAGCGAAAUCCGACUUUUAUUUUCUGCGAGAAUCGAAAUUCGAUUUUAAAAUAUGCAACUAAUUUUUAAUAUAAAAUACUUAUUGGAGCAUGUACAGAAAAAUUAAUGUAAGAUUACAACAAAAGUAAGAAACAAAUAACAUUAAUUUGGCGUUGCGUAUGUAUGAACUUCUAAUACAGAAAUGGCUUUAUACAAAGUCUCUUCCUUCGAUUAGUUUCUCAAGUCAUUUCAGAACAGAUCCAAAACCGUAGAUGGAUGGAUCUUGAUUCUUGUUAAUGUAUUUUAAAAUACAAAGUUACACACAUUGGAACUAAAACAAAUCCAUGGAAAAUGUGGAAACAUCUGAUUUUUGUAGAUGACAAACAAAAGAGAAAUUAACAUGGCUUUUGGCCCCUUGGAUCUGCAUGUCCAUGGUUUUGAAGUUAUUCAGAUUCACCAACAUGAAUUUUCUGAUCGAUCCUGCAAAUCACCAAAGCUUAAAAAAGAACACCAUAUAGGUUUAGAUAUCAAAUUCAAAUUGCAUAGUUCUAAAACAUUAAGAGGGAAACUGAAAUAAAGCAGAGAGAGAGAGGGAGAGAGAGAGAGAGAAGGGAGAGAGAGGCCAAUAUGGAGCUCCCUUCAAUCCAAGUAAGGAGAGGAGAAGGCAAUCACAUCUCCUAGGUCAUGCAAACCCUUAAGUUGCGCACUUCAGUUUGAGAACGUGCGCACCCCAGAGGUAUCCAUGAACCAGCAGCAGCGUAAACCAUCUCUCCCUCCUGGUUUUGGACCAAAGGAAGCUCCCAACUAACCCUCAAACAGUACAAGAAAUGCUACCAAAAAGACAAACUAAAAAGAAGAAAAAAUAAGAAAAGAGAAAGUGGUAAAAGAUGCCAAUCUGCCCAAAUGGUUGCUCUAGUUGUGAGGAGAAAUGGUGGGUCUGAAGGGCC
Molecule: long non-coding RNA, 1031 nt
Filed under: Prunus dulcis (almond)
Lineage: Eukaryota; Viridiplantae; Streptophyta; Magnoliopsida; Rosales; Rosaceae
Description: sRNA ncRNA
Source: RNAcentral